AAGGCUUUAAGUUAAUAAAACUAAUAGCCUUCAAAGCUAUUUAUAUUAGUACAAAUCUUUUAAGCCUUA
RNAcentral lists this transfer RNA (69 nucleotides) under Potthastia sp. 1XL. RNAcentral's name for it is "tRNA-Trp". It matches the Rfam family "tRNA". Rfam says of the family: Transfer RNA (tRNA) molecules are approximately 80 nucleotides in length. Lineage: Eukaryota; Metazoa; Arthropoda; Insecta; Diptera; Chironomidae. The record is from RNAcentral.